RNAcentral lists this ribosomal RNA (225 nucleotides) under uncultured Acinetobacter sp. Its description in RNAcentral is "partial 16S ribosomal RNA". It matches the Rfam family "Bacterial small subunit ribosomal RNA", at positions 568 to 792 of the family's 1533-position model. The record is from RNAcentral. Lineage: Bacteria; Pseudomonadati; Pseudomonadota; Gammaproteobacteria; Moraxellales; Moraxellaceae.
CGCGUAGGUGGCCAAUUAAGUCAAAUGUGAAAUCCCCGAGCUUAACUUGGGAAUUGCAUUCGAUACUGGUUGGCUAGAGUAUGGGAGAGGAUGGUAGAAUUCCAGGUGUAGCGGUGAAAUGCGUAGAGAUCUGGAGGAAUACCGAUGGCGAAGGCGGCAACCUGGCUCAUUACUGACGCUGAGGCGCGAAAGCGUGGGGAGCAAACAGGAUUAGAUACCCCCGUA